UGCAGUCGACGAACUCUGGUAUUGAUUGGUGCUUGCAUCAUGAUUUACAUUUGAGUGAGUGGCGAACUGGUGAGUAACACGUGGGAAACCUGCCCAGAAGCGGGGGAUAACACCUGGAAACAGAUGCUAAUACCGCAUAACAACUUGGACCGCAUGGUCCGAGUUUGAAAGAUGGCUUCGGCUAUCACUUUUGGAUGGUCCCGCGGCGUAUUAGCUAGAUGGUGGGGUAACGGCUCACCAUGGCAAUGAUACGUAGCCGACCUGAGAGGGUAAUCGGCCACAUUGGGACUGAGACACGGCCCAAACUCCUACGGGAGGCAGCAGUAGGGAAUCUUCCACAAUGGACGAAAGUCUGAUGGAGCAACGCCGCGUGAGUGAAGAAGGGUUUCGGCUCGUAAAACUCUGUUGUUAAAGAAGAACAUAUCUGAGAGCAACUGUUCAGGUAUUGACGGUAUUUAACCAGAAAGCCACGGCUAACUACGUGCCAGCAGCCGCGGUAAUACGUAGGUGGCAAGCGUUGUCCGGAUUUAUUGGGCGUAAAGCGAGCGCAGGCGGUUUUUUAAGUCUGAUGUGAAAGCCUUCGGCUCAACCGAAGAAGUGCAUCGGAAACUGGGAAACUUGAGUGCAGAAGAGGACAGUGGAACUCCAUGUGUAGCGGUGAAAUGCGUAGAUAUAUGGAAGAACACCAGUGGCGAAGGCGGCUGUCUGGUCUGUAACUGACGCUGAGGCUCGAAAGUAUGGGUAGCAAACAGGAUUAGAUACCCUGGUAGUCCAUACCGUAAACGAUGAAUGCUAAGUGUUGGAGGGUUUCCGCCCUUCAGUGCUGCAGCUAACGCAUUAAGCAUUCCGCCUGGGGAGUACGGCCGCAAGGCUGAAACUCAAAGGAAUUGACGGGGGCCCGCACAAGCGGUGGAGCAUGUGGUUUAAUUCGAAGCUACGCGAAGAACCUUACCAGGUCUUGACAUACUAUGCAAAUCUAAGAGAUUAGACGUUCCCUUCGGGGACAUGGAUACAGGUGGUGCAUGGUUGUCGUCAGCUCGUGUCGUGAGAUGUUGGGUUAAGUCCCGCAACGAGCGCAACCCUUAUUAUCAGUUGCCAGCAUUAAGUUGGGCACUCUGGUGAGACUGCCGGUGACAAACCGGAGGAAGGUGGGGAUGACGUCAAAUCAUCAUGCCCCUUAUGACCUGGGCUACACACGUGCUACAAUGGAUGGUACAACGAGUUGCGAACUCGCGAGAGUAAGCUAAUCUCUUAAAGCCAUUCUCAGUUCGGAUUGUAGGCUGCAACUCGCCUACAUGAAGUCGGAAUCGCUAGUAAUCGCGGAUCAGCAUGCCGCGGUGAAUACGUUCCCGGGCCUUGUACACACCGCCCGUCACACCAUGAGAGUUUGUAACACCCAAAGUC
This 1404-nucleotide ribosomal RNA is filed under the name Lactiplantibacillus plantarum. Its description in RNAcentral is "bacterial SSU rRNA". It matches the Rfam family "Bacterial small subunit ribosomal RNA", at positions 56 to 1428 of the family's 1533-position model. Lineage: Bacteria; Bacillati; Bacillota; Bacilli; Lactobacillales; Lactobacillaceae. The record is from RNAcentral.